This 240-nucleotide unclassified non-coding RNA is filed under the name Hevea brasiliensis (rubber tree). The record is from RNAcentral. Lineage: Eukaryota; Viridiplantae; Streptophyta; Magnoliopsida; Malpighiales; Euphorbiaceae.
GGGAAUUUGAACUCUACUCGUCGGGGUUCGGUUGUGGUUUGGUUUUGGACGAAGCGGUUUUGGUUUCUGAGACUAUUACUGGGAAUAAAUGUCGUCUUUAAGCAGAGAACUGGUGUUUCUCAUACUUCAAUUCCUCGAGGAGGAGAAGUUCAAGGAAUCGGUGCACAGGCUGGAGAAAGAAUCUGGGUUUUACUUCAAUAUGAAGUACUUUGAGGAUAAAGUUCAGGCUGGAGAAUGGGA